UAGGGAAUCUUCCGCAAUGGGCGAAAGCCUGACGGAGCAAUGUCGCGUGAGUGAAGAAGGCCUUCGGGUCGUAAAACUCUGUUAUAAGAGAAGAACAAAUUGUAGAGUAACUGCUACAGUCUUGACGGUAUCUUAUCAGAAAGCCACGGCUAACUACGUGCCAGCAGCCGCGGUAAUACGUAGGUGGCAAGCGUUGUCCGGAUUUAUUGGGCGUAAAGGGAGCGCAGGUGGUUUCUUAAGUCUGAUGUGAAAGCCCACGGCUUAACCGUGGAGGGUCAUUGGAAACUGGGAAACUUGAGUACAGAAGAGGAAUGUGGAACUCCAUGUGUAGCGGUGGAAUGCGUAGAUAUAUGGAAGAACACCAGUGGCGAAGGCGACAUUCUGGUCUGUUACUGACACUGAGGCUCGAAAGCGUGGGGAGCAAACAGG
RNAcentral lists this ribosomal RNA (429 nucleotides) under Acidobacteriota bacterium. RNAcentral's name for it is "Acidobacteria bacterium partial 16S ribosomal RNA". It matches the Rfam family "Bacterial small subunit ribosomal RNA", at positions 355 to 776 of the family's 1533-position model. The record is from RNAcentral. Lineage: Bacteria; Pseudomonadati; Acidobacteriota.